UGGCUCCUACGGGAGGCAGCAGUGGGGGAUAUUGGACAAUGGGGGAAACCCUGAUCCAGCGAUGCCGCGUGAGGGAAGAAGGUUUUCGGAUUGUAAACCUCUGUGGAGGGGGACGAUAAUGACGAUACCCCUUUAGGAAGCCACGGCUAACUACGUGCCAGCAGCCGCGGUAAUACGUAGGUGGCGAGCGUUGUCCGGAAUUACUGGGUGUAAGGGGGGGGAAGGCGGGAAAGCAAGUCAG
This 241-nucleotide ribosomal RNA is filed under the name uncultured bacterium. RNAcentral describes it as "partial 16S ribosomal RNA". It matches the Rfam family "Bacterial small subunit ribosomal RNA", at positions 333 to 591 of the family's 1533-position model. The record is from RNAcentral.